Molecule: ribosomal RNA, 479 nt
Filed under: uncultured organism
Description: partial 16S ribosomal RNA
Rfam family: Bacterial small subunit ribosomal RNA
Source: RNAcentral
CGUACACUCCUGCGGAGGCAGCAGUGGGGAAUUUUGGACAAUGGGCGAAAGCCUGAUCCAGCAAUGCCGCGUGAGUGAAGAAGGCCUUCGGGUUGUAAAGCUCUUUUGUCAGGGAAGAAACGGUGAAAGCUAAUAUCUUUUGCUAAUGACGGUACCUGAAGAAUAAGCACCGGCUAACUACGUGCCAGCAGCCGCGGUAAUACGUAGGGUGCAAGCGUUAAUCGGAAUUACUGGGCGUAAAGCGUGCGCAGGCGGUUUUGUAAGUCUGAUGUGAAAUCCCCGGGCUCAACCUGGGAAUUGCAUUGGAGACUGCAAGGCUAGAAUCUGGCAGAGGGGGGUAGAAUUCCACGUGUAGCAGUGAAAUGCGUAGAUAUGUGGAGGAACACCGAUGGCGAAGGCAGCCCCCUGGGUCAAGAUUGACGCUCAUGCACGAAAGCGUGGGGAGCAAACAGGAUUAGAUACCCGGGUAGUCCCAUGAU